Molecule: long non-coding RNA, 2804 nt
Filed under: Homo sapiens (human)
Lineage: Eukaryota; Metazoa; Chordata; Mammalia; Primates; Hominidae
Description: HSALNT0381206
Source: RNAcentral
AAUCCGGAUGUCAUUGGUUGGAUCCACCAUCAUCGAAUCACUCUCCUGGGGAAACAAAUUAUUAAGUGCUUAGAGAUACAGCUUUUUGCAUAAGAAUGACUAGUUAUUUCUGUGUGUCAAGGGGAAUCCUAGCAGAAUAAAAACGGAUGGUUUACAAUGUAAAUCCUGAAAGUUAAGUGGUGUCCUAUGUAAGACCAGAUGACACAAACCUGAUAAUGCAUCUCUUGAAGCGUUUGGGGUGAGCCCCGAGGCCUGGGUGCAGGAGUGGUUUACUGAGUGGCAAUCAUCAGCAAUGCCAUCUGGGGCAUUGGAGAAGACCCAUGCUGAGAGGACCUGCGAGAGAGCCAGUGGGUCUCAUCCAAGGAGAAGGCGCCUAGGCGCUGUCCGUAGUGCUGAAAUGGUGCGUGGUGAGACCUGUCUCCCCAACACAAGCUAGAAGACAACAAAAUAGCAGCCAGGAAACGCUCUGAUAAAGCUCUAGAUAGCUGCCAGGUGAUGCCAGAGAUUACUAGUUUUGGGACCAAUUAAAGUAGCAAGAUGCAGCCAGGAGUGGUGGCUUAUGCCUGUAAUCCCAGCACUUUGGGAGGCCGAGGUAGGAGGAUCACCUGAGGCCGAGCUCAAGGGAGCAGAACUAAGUUACAUGAUUCUGCUGCGGAUGUAUAAGCACCACUCCAAUAAUUUAUUAUCACGGUUGGAGACUUUGACUUGUCACUUUAUGACUUGAAAUAUGGCUCCAUGAUGCUGAGAUACAAAGAUAAAUGAGAUUUGGUCUCUGCCCUCGAGGAGAUACGUGGCAAAAUAAUAUGGUAAGUUCUACAAAGUUCUAUACAAACACAGAUUAAUAUGCUAUUCAUGUUUUAUUAGCCAUUGCCAAAGAAGGGAUGAAGAACUGCAAAAAGAUAAAACACAGAAUACUUGUACUUCAGGUCCUUGCCAAUAUCUACUGCCCAACUUUUACAAAAAAAAUUGCUGAAAGGCAUGAAAUAUAUGAAUGCCUUUCUAAAGCACAUGUGGAUAAUCUAUACUUCUGGAGCAUCUAUGAUUUAUUUUCAGAACAAUCCAAGUUAUUAGAAAGGUAAAUAUGUUGGUGACAUUGUUUAGAAGUUCCUCAAGCAGAAUUGCCUUUACUAUGCUUUGACAUUAUGCUCUCAGCUUAUAUACAGUAAUUCUAUGUGAAACAGUAGCCAGCUUACACAACCUGCUCUAUAUCUACUACAGAGCUGUUACUAAAGUGUUGGUCAACAUAUAACUUACUAUUUCUUAUAUAAAGAUGCCCAAGAAAUUUAGAUUUCAUAGAUAUAUCCCCAAAAGCAUUUCUUUCAAUACCAGUUUAAUGAAUUGAACUUUCAUACCUCACUUAAAUCAACCCAGGGUAAAGUGGUAUGUUCUGUUCUUACACACAAUGAAAAUCAUGUAACUAAUUAAAGUUAGCAUUUAUUUUAGCUACUAGGGAUGCCAGAGUCAAAUUAACAGCUGAAAAUGAAUAACUACAUAAGACCUUAAGCCUUUUAUAUCUUUUCUUUUUUUUUAAUCACCUUAACUACUGCAAUUUUGGUUUCUUAGGUAAUGAUAAUAUUAUUUUCUUUUAAUUAUUUGUUUUAAUGUGUGACCUCAUGUAAAUGUCCUCAUAAAAUCAGAAGUGGAGUAAAUAAAUAAAUAAAGUAAAUUUCUCUACUUUUUGAUUAUUGGGUGAGUGUAUAUGGUUGUUUUAUAAAUUUAUUCUAAAUAGGAUACUAAAAUACAGAAAAUGUAUCAUCUAAUUAGCUAUGAAGAUAAAAAUCUAAACUAUAAUGAGGAAAUAUUAAAAUGUCAAGAUGACGAAGAAAUUUUUCAGUUUAUAUAAUUAUAGAUCAGCUUAAUUUCAAACCACUUUGUUACCCUAUUGCUAUUUUUAUACUCUAAAUAGUGUCCCUUAUAUGACUAAGACUUUUUGUUAUCUCAGAGAUUGGAAGUGUUAAUUGUCCACCUUGUUAGAAGACAUGGUAACUAUAGGAAUUUAGAAAGCAUGAUAGCCCAACUGUAAUGAAUAUAUUCUAGAAUGAGGUUGUCACAAAGAAACUGAAAACAAGAAUUUCCUCUAACAACUGAGCUCAGGAUUCUUUUCAGAGGAAAAUUUAGCUUGCAUAAAUUCUUGCCAUCUUGGCUCUAGUUGACUUCUUGCUCUCAACUUUUGCAAAGUGAGAUCACCUUUACCUCUUCAACCUAUGAGGCCAACAUGUUACUUUCAAUUUUUCAGGAAAAUCUACGUCUUGUUUGGCUGAGGUUUGAUUAUUAUUCCUUAACUAAAAUAUUUUAAUGUAGCUGUGCUUUUUAAUUUGAAUAUUGCUAUUGAUUCAAACAUUGGGUAGCAUAUCUUUCAAAUGUGAAAUUUUAAAACAUGUAUUAAAGACAAACAUAAAUUAGUUUUGGUAUAACUAUUUUUUAAGAUUAAUCCAAUGCUUUUUUGGCUUUAGAUGAUGUUUGGUAAUUAGCUAUAUUCAAAAGUCAACCUUUUUUUUUUUUCAAAAAAUGAACUCCUAUGUAUAUGAGUGUUAUUUUUAUCUACCCAUGUCUUUUUUGUCUACAUAUACAGUUUUAAUCAUUGUUUCGGGGGGAGGAAUAAGAAUGAUUUUGAAAUUUCACUAAGAAAGAUAUGCCCUCUUCCUAAAAAUACAUAUAUACAGAUGUUUUGCUCACAGCUCAGGUAUUCAUGGAUCUCUGGAAGUUCAUUUUUAUAAUCCCAAGGUAAUCCAAAGAGCCUGCUAAAAAAUUCUGCUGUAAAUGCAUGGUACAUGAUCUCAUUCCCUGUUUUACAACGAAGUAUU